Molecule: long non-coding RNA, 765 nt
Organism: Homo sapiens (human)
Lineage: Eukaryota; Metazoa; Chordata; Mammalia; Primates; Hominidae
Source: Ensembl
CGAACUACCGCUUUCCCCGUAACCAGGGAGACUGCAGUUUGCAGUGAUGUGGCUAAGAUACCCUUGUGCUAUUAAAGGCACAUUUACGUAUCUUUCAACGCAGUUUGUACCUUUGUUUAGGGUUCUAUUGAACUUUCUCUGUGCUCUUUAGAAAACCGUCGAAUAAAGGUAACCAUCUUUUUGGGUGCCUGGGCAUGGUCAUUGUCCCAGAGUUUUAACAGAAGUCUCUACUAAAGUAUCCUGAUUUGCAAGGGAGGUCAUGGACCAAGUACAAAGCGGCAAAAGGAUGGAAUUAAGGUACCUGACAUUGUUGAACCCAUGCCUGAUGCCACAUUAGCUCAGGACUACCUACAUGGACAUGGAUAUUUCCAGUGAAAGAAAGAAGAAAGCAUGCUUUUCUCUUGACUGUGCAGAAAAAAAAACUAUGUUUCUUUGAUUCUCCAUUUUACUAGAUGCCAUACCUUUGCAAUUACUUCAUGUGGAGUCUUGACCAAGAUUCAGGAAAUACUAGAACUUUCAGUCCCAGAAGGUUACUCUGGGCAUUACUAGUCCCCAUCAUUAUGAGUUGAGUUUUACUAGUUAAUUUCAGACGAAAAAUAUUUGUUUUUCCCCAAAUUCUGGGGUUACGUACUUUUACUACCUAUGAACUGACAACUGUAUCUUCAGUAAUUACAAUUUCCAACAAAAUGUUAUAGGAAUAAAGAAAAGAUGUUAGUUCAUUAUUCAGAGUUUAUGUUUAUUCCUUUAAUAAAAAGAAAUGGUCUG